CAUGCCAUACCCAAUGCCUUCCGAAAUAGGGGCGAGUCGCUUGAAAAGUAUGGCCGGACCCAAACCCACGUACUGUGCUAGCGAUAACUCCAUGAACAUAAGCGGCAGCCCAGCAAUCACUAGCAUCACGGUGAACGGUAUCAGAAAGGCCCCUGGAAGCAGCAGCAGUAAGCAGAGCCAAAGGUAUGGAAAUCGCCAUACAUUUCCCAAACCGACUGAGUAGCCCAGUAGGGACAGGAGGAAAUCGUACCGCCCUGUCCAGGAGCCACGUUUUGCGAGCGCCUCAUCAUUCAUCGGUUGAUCGCUGCAGAAAUCGUAUUCGGAUGCGUACGCGAGCUGUCUACGACGUUCAACGCGCUUUAACCACACGUCCACGGUGAGCUUUGUACUACAGUCCUUGGACACAGAUAAGCGACGCAACGGAGUAACAGUAUCAUUAAUUAUGUAUCCAUUGGACCGUAGUACCGUAGCACCGAUUUCAACGACACUGCAAUUUCCUCACUGAAGCUCAACUGGGAAAUGGUUCUUGGCUAUGGAAGUAAUAUCUAACCCACCGGUCAGUAGUCAACAUUGUUACCAUACGUCGCGAAGUCAUGAGAAUUUUUGCAAAUUAACUUACUGCGAAGGUCGAACAGUGCGACACGGUGCAAUGUCGGACGAUUUGCUUUACGAUCGAGGUUGAUCACACGUAAUAACUGUGUAGUGAAUAUUUAGUUUACCUUUUUAAAACUUCGAAUCAAGCCUCUGUCCAAUACUAAGUAAGACAGUAUUUAUUUUUUACUUCGUAUGUGACAAUGGCAACUUUUAAAAAUGUAAACUCAAAACUCACUAUAUAGUUAUUACGAAUCAUCAAGCUCGAUCAGUUUGAUAAAAAGCGUUUAUUGAAAUUUCCAACGACAUGAAAAGAUAAUUUAACACGAUUAAAUAUUCAGCAAACACAAUACGGCCUUUUUGGACCGUUACUUCAGAAUAAAAAAAAAUUCAGCAACAAUUUGUACGAUCAAAUAAAUUUUCACGAUAGUCUCCACUA
Anopheles gambiae (African malaria mosquito) is the source of this 1030-nucleotide long non-coding RNA. RefSeq lists it as uncharacterized. The transcript is spliced from 3 exons. Lineage: Eukaryota; Metazoa; Arthropoda; Insecta; Diptera; Culicidae. The record is from RefSeq and is a predicted model, not a curated record.